AGCGAUCAAUCAUCCCAGCAGAAUUACAUGCAGGUCCAAGAUCUCCUCUAACAGAACAUUUUACCUCAUAAAUAGUGCUUCCAGUUGACUGCGACACACUGAAUUGCCAGUUGGGGACGUACAGGCCAUAGAACAACCCACAAUGUAUAGCAGACAAUAGAGAACAUGUUACACCAUUGCCAAAUUUAAUUUCUGAAAAGGGCAACUCUUUUCAUCUCUUGACAUGGAAGCCAUAUCUCGCACAAAGCUGCUAUAAUAUCCAACAGCUAUUCUCUGCAAAAUUCCCAUCCAUCGUAUCCUUUCUAUAUCUACACCAUAGGUUAAACCAGUUACUCCAUGCAAGUAACCCCCUUGAAGGAAAAUGCCAAGGAUAAAAAGUUUCAAGGUCCUAAUCACAACUUUCAAGGUUGCCCCAGUUCUGUCUAAAACUAUCUGCAGGUCUGUGAAACUCUAACAACAAAAGAGGAAAAAAGGCAUUACAAAGUCUGCCAAGCGGACACCAUUCCAUGGGGAGUGAGCAAUGCUGGGAUAAACAGAACCAGAUAAUCCACAAGCAUCAUAAGCUCGAAACACAUGGAGAUAA
This 583-nucleotide unclassified non-coding RNA is filed under the name Hevea brasiliensis (rubber tree). Lineage: Eukaryota; Viridiplantae; Streptophyta; Magnoliopsida; Malpighiales; Euphorbiaceae. The record is from RNAcentral.